GACGAACGCUGGCGGCGUGCUUAACACAUGCAAGUCGAACGGAAAGGCCCUGCUUUUGUGGGGUGCUCGAGUGGCGAACGGGUGAGUAACACGUGAGUAACCUGCCCUUGACUUUGGGAUAACUUCAGGAAACUGGGGCUAAUACCGGAUAGGAUCUCCUGCUGCAUGGUGGGGGUUGGAAAGUUUCGGCGGUUGGGGAUGGACUCGCGGCUUAUCAGCUUGUUGGUGGGGUAGUGGCUUACCAAGGGUUUGACGGGUAGCCGGCCUGAGAGGGUGACCGGCCACAUUGGGACUGAGAUACGGCCCAGACUCCUACGGGAGGCAGCAGGGGGGAAUAUUGCACAAUGGGCGGAAGCCUGAUGCAGCAACGCCGCGUGCGGGAUGACGGCCUUCGGGUUGUAAACCGCUUUCGCCUGUGACGAGGCGUGAGUGACGGUAAUGGGUAAAGAAGCACCGGCUAACUACGUG
RNAcentral lists this ribosomal RNA (468 nucleotides) under uncultured bacterium. RNAcentral's name for it is "partial 16S ribosomal RNA". It matches the Rfam family "Bacterial small subunit ribosomal RNA", at positions 28 to 507 of the family's 1533-position model. The record is from RNAcentral.